Molecule: transfer RNA, 68 nt
Filed under: Otolemur garnettii (small-eared galago)
Lineage: Eukaryota; Metazoa; Chordata; Mammalia; Primates; Galagidae
Rfam family: tRNA
About the family: Transfer RNA (tRNA) molecules are approximately 80 nucleotides in length.
Source: Rfam by way of RNAcentral
AAGGACUUAGCUUAAUUAAAGUAAUUGUUUUGCAUUCAGUUGAUGAAGUAGUAGUCUUGCAGUCCUUA